CCUUCUAUUUGUUGACAGUUGAUAUUAAAUUCUUGUUUUUGUUUUUAGGAGAGAACAAAAGAAAUGUUUAAAAUGGUAUGUUUCUCAUACGUCAGAAGCUACAUCAAUCACCUAUUCCCCCCUCCCUUUCCUGUCAGCUAUGGGAAGUUCACACAGGAAAAUCACCAACUUCCACUCAGCCACAAUCCUUCUGUGAGACCUCAUGGAAGAUACUUUGCUUUUUCUCCCGGGUGGCAGUUUCUCCACUAGCUAUGUUAUGUUUUUAGGCCAUGUUUUUGAACUUCCUCUUUGGUGGGUAGCCUGAGAUGAUCAUUGAAGGCAUACACACUUAUUUCCAACACCAGAAGAGAUUACGUCUUGAGUCUAAAAAGUACCCCUGACAUAGGAGGUGCCUCCAUACCUGUAAGCAUUCCCAGAAGCCAACAGGAUUGCGUGGAUCAGAACAUUGAGUAAGGCAACAUGGCUUAAACCCUUUGCUGUUCAUAGUUGGAAAGCAGCUUCCAAGGAAGCAGAUCUCAAUUUCUUCUACAGCUGAAGACACCUGAAGGCUGAAGCAGGACUAAAGAGCCCAGAGACAGCAUGGUGUGUUAGGAGAGAACUGGCCUUGCACUUGGAGGACCCAGCUUCUGGUCCUGCUAUGCGACCCACUUGCUUGGUGACCAACUUAUGUCUCCUCUCAGGACGCUUGUUUUUCCAUGUUUCAAAAGGGGAAAUUGGACUAGAUGGUCUCUAAGGUCUCUUCCAGUGUUGAUAUUUGAUUGUUCUCCCCAGGGGUUUCACAUAGAUCAUAACCAUUCUAGAGUCACACCCUCUGUCCCCAAUCCUGGAUCAGUAUUUGGUUGCUAAGGGAAACAGGCAAGCAAAAAUGUUUGACAAUCCUUAGUGCUAUCACCAGUUGCCAAGUACACAUCUGUCAUGCUGACAGUGUCAGCAGGGUCACUUUUUGUAUCUGGAUGACAGAAUGGUCAUAUUAUUGCUUGAUUUGAAGAAGAGCACCAUUGACUAUCUGCCGGAAAAAAGCUGUGGGUCCUUUAUGACUGCAUGAUGCACUUCCACUGUUUAGGAAACUGACUAUCCGAUCAUGUGAACUGACAGAUACGGGGCUGUGUUAAAUAUUAAGUAUUGUAGAAAUGAAAACUGUUAUUAAAGUAGUAAAAUGUUUAUCUAGAGAGCAGUGCUGAUGAAACACUGUGGUUAGUUCUUGCCCUCUUUGUUAAAAUAGGUAAUUGAUUGUACCAUCCACAUACCCACGUGAAAAUUAUCCAGCAUGUUGUAUUUAUAAGCUCCUCCCUACCUGAGAGAAAAAAUGAUAAUUAUCUAGCCUUUUUGUCCUGGGUCACUUAAUUCAGUUUCAGUCCAAGUUUUUGACCUUCUUUAAUAAGAAAAUGCCAGAUUUUCCAUCCCAUAAUCUGGUUAUCUAAUACCUUGCUCAGUGAUUAAAAUUGAUUAAAAUGAAGAAAGAGUGCUCUUUUAAAAUAAGAAAAUGAUUGAAUUUCUAUGGUUUAGGUUGUAUUUAAGCAAAGAUUGGAUUAAAUUGAUCUGGAUUGAAUGAAGGACACUCUAAACAAUUCUAAACUUAUUGCAACUCUGAAUAUUGCUUUCUGGAAUGCCUCAGCACAAAAUGUCACUGUCACUUUUGUUUCAUAAACACAUAUAUCUUUUAAUGCAUAGAUAAUGCACUUUUUAGAGGCGUUUAAAACAUACACAUUUGCAUAGAUAUUCAUUCACAACUGUUUUCACUAAACCAAAAUAGAAAAGACUUAGCUGACUUUUAAGCACUUGCAUUUUCCAGUUUGAAUACAGAGAAUUGGGCAUUUUUUUCAUAUAUGGAAUAAACAGCAAACACAUUCUCAAUGAGUUUAGACUGAACAUCUAGUUUGAGAAAAUUUGAUUUAUGGACAGGAGUCAAAGUUUACCUGUGAAGAUAAUGAAAUAGCAUGACAGAAAAGAGUGGUGUUGUGCCAAUGGCCAAAAGAGUAGAUCAGAGAUUACCUUCCAAUGAUUUCAAAGUGGGCAAGGGUUUUAAUUACUGAAGGUGGAAGGGGAAUUAAUGUAAUUAUUGUAAUCACUCCUAAGAAAUCUUCUAGUUUCACCACACUGUGGAAUAAUUUUAAGUUUAUAAUUCAUUCUUAAUCAAAUUUGAUGCAUUAUAUUGCCAUCUCCCACAAUGUUAAAAUAAAAAUGUAUUUUAAUGUUUUAAUUAAAUUUACAUUUUUUCUAUGUA
RNAcentral lists this long non-coding RNA (2224 nucleotides) under Homo sapiens (human). RNAcentral describes it as "HSALNT0286816". Lineage: Eukaryota; Metazoa; Chordata; Mammalia; Primates; Hominidae. The record is from RNAcentral.